CAGCAUCCUAACAAGCCUCGCUGUUAUCGUUUUCACAUGAUAAUAGUAAAUUGUUAUUUAAUUUAGACUCGUCUGUGUAAAAACGUCUUCUCCGUGUUGCACGAGCCACGGACAAGUGGCUGGUGCUGACGGGAGAAGUUGAGCGGAACAGAGCUCGGUGCAGAGCACACAAAGCAAUGGGAUGUGCUGUGGGCCUGGGAGGCGUCGGGCUGUUGGCUCGGCUGCUGGUCCGGCUGUUGGUCCGGCAGUUGGUUCGGCUGCUGGCUCAGCUGGCUCUUGGUAGGGUGCUGGAGUCGUUGUCCAUCAUCUGAGGUGGGCUCACCCCAAUGGCACUCUGACUAAGCUAGAAUGAGCACGCGGUUUCCCCAUAUAGAAUAAACGUGCAGUUUCCUAAUUAGAAAGAAGUCAGAGCCUCAUAAAUAGCACAGCAUCGCUAGCUCUGUGUGUUUAAGGUUCUUUUUCUCCACAAAGUUAAACUAUUUUAGAUUUGGAAUCAUAAACGCCUACUGCAAAUUUCUGCUUGUCUUCAAAAUGGCUGUUUUGGCCAAAACCCUUGUUUAUCAUCAGAAAAGUUUUGAGCAAGUGAAGUACCAUUAAAUAGACAAGUGAUUUACAUCGGGAGGUCAGCUGUGUACAUUAUGGGGUUGCAGAUAAGCUGUGUAAGUAAACAGAAGCGCGGGGCUCAGUUAUUGUGCAUGGCCAUGGAGAUACCGUGGGGCUGUUUCGCCAGUUAAUAGCGCAGGGCUGCGUGGGAACUGUUUGAUCUGCAGGACUUUUGCUUGGCAGCGGUUUACUUAAGGUUAUUACACUCUGUUUGGAGACUCGUGUUUGCCAGCCAUUAUUGCAUUCUUAGCUCCAGGCUUCCCAGAGUUACAGGUUAGUAGGUCAAUAAAAAAUGGCACUGAAAUGCUGGAAUUGACAGGCUGGGUUUUUAAAUGCAGUUGGGGAAUAACUGUGCAACAAUCAGAACUCUGAGGAAUUGGGUUUUUUCCUAUGUUUUUUGAUGCUGGUUAAUGGUGGACCAAAAAUACUACUUUUGCCCUUGAACGCUGGGAACGUUUUUCCAUUCCUUGUUAACAGAGGAAACAAAUUGUGUAAGCCAAGCGCAGAGUUGCCUGUCAGGAUGAAGUGACCAGCUCCCUGCCCAGCCUCACUGCCAUCUGCCAGCGAUCGGGGCGGCGGUGCCACUGGCAGUAGGUAGGCUUGCCAGCACAAGAGUAUAAAUGUCAUCAGGUCCCUCCUGCUGCAGAUUUAUGUGUUCUUUUAAAAUGUGAAAAUGACUGUGCCAUGCGGGGAAGUGGUAUGAAAAAGUAUGUCAUUAGAUGGCAAUUGCUUUAAAAGCACCUUAAUAAAACCUAAAGUCUUCCAAGGUGAAGCACUUCCAGCACUUGGUUGCAGGGUGCAUUCCAGGAGCCCAGCUCUGCUGUCUUACUGCUCGACUGCAGACCUGCAGCGCUGCCGUGUCCCCGCUCUGCCAAACACUGGCAGCCCGCAGUGAGCCAUGUGCACGGAGCAGCUCCAUCCGUGCCAUGCCGUGCAAUUUACGUGCUCAAAGUGAAGCAUAUGGCUGCCCUGCGCCUGGCUCAGUGUGCGCUGACAACUACGGGUGGAUCAGAUGUUCAGGGCAGAGCAGAGGAAAAUGAGAAAGACCACAACUUGUGGAUGGUUUCAGCAGCUCAUAUUCAGUUUGCUCAUAGGAACUUUAUGUCCUUUAGCUCAGGACUACCAUCAGUUGUACUUCGUGUACAUUCAGUCUGUUCUCUUCUUGUUUUUGGAGUGCGUCCUCAGAAAAUCAUUCCUGCCUCCGUUUUUCUCAUCUGUCUUUGCUGUUAAUUGACGUAGCUCUCACUUAUUGACAAGCAUUUAUGUUUAAGUAGGCAUUUGUUGAUUCUUUCUUUCUUUCUGAAGCAAAGAACCCCCCUUUCUGUAGUAGCUAUGUCGUGGUUACUUCUGCACUCCUGUGCCAGGUUGGGUUCGUUACAGCUCUUGCUGAGUGUUGCAGCUGUGCCACUGUUGACUCUAACAGAUAAUCCCCUGCUCAGUGCCAGAGAUGCUCAGCAGCAGAAGCCAGGUGUUGUGUAUAAAUCCACUUAUCACACUGAUUAGUUUUCCUUUUAAGACCCCGAUUUUGCAACCAGUUAGCCACCUGCUUAACCUCAGGGUUGCAGCAUUGAAGUACAGGGGUGAUUCUGGGUGUGAAGACGAACGUGUGUAGGUGUUUGCAGGGUUAGUGCUUGUAAACAUGUGCUGCACUAAAUGGUGGAAGAGCUUAAAAAAAAAAAAAAGGCCUCUUUUGCUUUGUUCUCAAGAAUUAUGGUAGGCAGUUGUGAUUAGUUAGGUUAUUUAGUUAAAAUGCAGUAACACUGUGUGAUGCUGGGAUUGUCAGAGCACUGAUGUGGAAUUGGCAGUGCUCAGGAUCAGACAGUGGAGCUGCAAUUGUAAUAGUGCUUGUAUGGAAAGUCAGCCAGGAGCCUGGUAGGUUUGAGGUUUGUGUUUCUAUUAUGAAGAAGGUCUGGAGGGAUUACUGCAGCAAAAUACUGUUUAUUGUUUCUAGCUCUUUGAUAUUUAGCUCUCAUUUAAAUUGGGUAAUGGAAACUCCUAGACCAAAGAAUUAGAUAGAAUUAGGAUAUUAGAUAAUGGACACAGGCCUAAGCUGAUGGGGAUAGAAUUAAAAAUAAUAAUAAUCAGGCAAAUUCUUUUCUUCUUCUUCUUCUUCUUUUUUUUUUAACAUAUUUUUAAUGUAUUCAGAUGAUUUAAACAUAAAGACUGGGUGUUCUGCCAGCAAGACUUGAUAUGCAGAAUUCUUCUAAAAGCCAGAGACCCUGCAGUUCUCUACUUCUUUGGGAACUGAUUUCUCUUCUAUUCUUCUCCCUUGAAAUGAAAAUGGGAAGUCGUGUAGUUCUUGGUUUUGUUGUUUUUUUUCAGAAGGAGUGCAGUUUUACAGUAUGGAAACUAAUGGCUCAUAAAGGAGAGUCAAAUACUUCUGCCUCUCUUGCUGUGCUGUACGCACAGACAAUUCACAUCUGAAACAUAAAUUAUUCCUGAGAAUAAUCAAAAUGCAAGUAAGGAGGGCAAAAACAAGGUAUGGAAAAAGGUUUGAUGUAUCAUAGAAACCAAUUUUUCACUGCUGCUGCAUGUAGUAAAAGAACAAAAAGAAGCACUCUCUCUUUCUCCCCAUCUCUCAUCUUAGGAUCUCCCUUAAGUCUGUACUGUUAUGACUGUUCUGAGCCAACCAUUUACCAGUUGCUUUCCAUAUACAUCUUUGUUCCAUUUUCUAAUAACUUUCCUUGCAUUGUGUAUAACUCCCUUUAAAUAGGCUCUUGGCUCCUGGUGGUAUGUGUUGUUCGAAAUAGAUAAUGCAGCUGUUCUCUUAUUGCAUUCACUUGAAUCCUUAAGGCUUCUCUGUGCCAAGGUUUGCCCAUGUUGUUGCUCUAACCUACUUCAGGAAGCUAAAAUCUUUGUCCCACUGUAUACUUGCUACCAAGGAAGUUACCUGUGUACUGGUUCUUAUUGUGAGUGACUUUUGUUCCGAAGAUGCUUCAAGACUUCAGAAUGAUAAUUCUGAUUUCCUUUGCUAUAAUUUCCCCCCCUCUUUCUUUUUUUUUGUAUUAAUUGCCUGCAUGCCUCAUCUCUGCCCUCUGUGUACACCUGUGUUCCAGCAUAUGUUGCAAGAAUCAGAUAUAGAAGCUGAAUUUUACUUUGUAGGGUGAUGACCCCACUAACUUGCUGCAGCUUGAAGGAUGGCUGUGUCAUUAGUGAGUGAGUAACUGUGUGCCAUGCAAUAAGCAGAGAAUGUAGGCCAAGGCAGUAUAAUAAAGUCAUCUUCCUGUUGCCUUUGGGUAAAGUCCAGAGCUACCAGUUGAGCCAUACUCAACAUGUGGUAACUCUUGGCUUUCUUUGCAUUGGCAAUAAAGUAGUUCCUGGUGGCUGCUGAAAAUGAGAUUGAGUCAUAAUCACUCCUAUGGCUGUUAAUGGGAAUUGUACCUAACAGUUUUUGAGCAAUUUACAACAUUGUUUCUGUAUUCCUCUCGGGUGCUCCAGAUGUCAUCCAGGAGCACAGUUUCUUCAGGAGGAAAGCUACUCCGUGAUCAGUGAUGUGGCUUUAUGUCUUGAUGCAAGGCAAGCUUUCGCCUAAGAGGACAUUAAGUUACCAGUGAAAAUGCACAUAGUGGAUUAAAAUAUGAUAGUAAGAACAUCUGCUCAAAGGUCAGAGAGACAAACUACAUUGUAUAAGGAAAAAUAAGAAGUUGGUCAGUGAUUUCUUUUGAAAUCCAAAUUUCAUUCACAAGGUCUCACUUUAACAAACCAAGGUAUCUGAGCGCUUACAUCAGAACUGCCAUGACUGUCACUGCCUGCCACUGUAUCUUAUGGCUCAGUGUUAACAGGAGCCUACAAGCCUGGUGUCUGCUACCUUGUAACCAUGAACUCUGUCUCUGAAGACCAGAAGGGCCUGAAAUAUCCCAGGAUAUCCCACUUCAGACCCCUUGGUUUGGGGAGCUCCUUGUUUGAGUAGGGUUCUUAGGGGUUCAGGGUUGCCCAGGGAGGAGCUUGGAGCUGUUUCUCAGCUUGGAGCUUGUCUGUGCAGCCUCACAAGUCUGACCUCCCAGAGGGCUGAAGGCCACUCCUGGCGUUUGGCUAUGAGAGGUGUAGGUGGCAGUCUAGACAGUGUUCAAUGACCCCACAGUAGGAAGGAGGAAAAAAAAUGGAGUCAAGUAGGACCAAUGAUGACUCUCUUGUUGUUUUAAGCUGGGAAAGACUGUAAUAGAUCUGUAUGACAAGGAACUGUACCCACAGGCAAUGAAAACCUGAGGAGGAGCAAGGCAGGUCUUGUGAAUGAAAGAAGGGAUUGGGAGUUGAGAUGACGUGCUUCAUGAUGACAUCUUGACAGGUGAGGAGGAAUAAAACGGCCCUGCUGGAUCUUGAUUUACUGCCUCUUGGAGGAAAGUGAUGAAACUGUAGCUGGAAAGAGAACAGCAGAUUUGGAGAAAUUAAUUAAAGGUAGAAAAUACUUAGUUGCAGAGGGAUGUUCUAUUCAAUUUGAAAAGUGGUGCUAGGAAAGUGACAAUCUAAGGAAUAAAAAGACUGUAGUGGAGCAGUCUGUCAGGGCUUGAGAUUUGUGGCAGGGAUGUUAUGAUCUGUGAGAGCAGCAGUGGGGGAAGGUUCUGGGAUCUCCAGCAGCAUGUAUUGCAGUGAGGGAGAACAAGGACUUGUAAACCUGGGGGAAAGCAAAUGCAUUUUAGAAAUCUUUUGUUUUACUGGCAUUUCUCUGGAAUGGAGAUAUUUCCAUCAAAGGAAGGGUCCAUUUUUUGCAUAACUAGUGAAAUUGUUUUUGAUAAGAGUUUGUUGUGUCACUCAUCACUGUAGCAUUAAUGCACAUAAAACAGGAUGGCAGUGCUCUCUGAAGGAUUUACUUUGCCGAGUAGUGGAAAGAUACUUGGAUGUUUAUUGUGCAUUUUGUUGGGUGCUUGUGGAUUUGUGCUAGAGUGAAGGCUGGGUAGGCUGGGAUCUAUCAGGAUGUGAGCUUCUCUCUCCCAUGGCAAG
RNAcentral lists this long non-coding RNA (5541 nucleotides) under Gallus gallus (chicken). The record is from RNAcentral. Lineage: Eukaryota; Metazoa; Chordata; Aves; Galliformes; Phasianidae.